This 256-nucleotide ribosomal RNA is filed under the name uncultured bacterium. RNAcentral's name for it is "partial 16S ribosomal RNA". It matches the Rfam family "Bacterial small subunit ribosomal RNA", at positions 524 to 776 of the family's 1533-position model. The record is from RNAcentral.
UACGUAGGGACCAAGCGUUGUCCGGAAUCAUUGGGCGUAAAGAGCGUGUAGGCGGCUUGUUAAGUCUUGUGUGAAAUCUCGGGGCUCAACCCCGAGCGGUCAUGAGAAGCUGGCAGGCUAGAGUGCGGGAGAGGAGAGUGGAAUUCCUGGUGUAGCGGUGAAAUGCGCAGAUAUCAGGAAGAACACCCGUGGCGAAGGCGGCUCUCUGGAACGCAACUGACGCUGAGACGCGAAAAGCGUGGGGGAGCAAAACAGG